Molecule: non-coding RNA, 7513 nt
Organism: Equus caballus (horse)
Lineage: Eukaryota; Metazoa; Chordata; Mammalia; Perissodactyla; Equidae
Source: RefSeq, a predicted model, not a curated record
GUAAAAAUAUGCAACUAUGUAUCAUGGGGCUUUGGGGAGAAAAAGGAAAAAUAAAAUCUUUUUAAAAAAACGUUUUUUCCCCUCUAAGGAAAAUGUGACAUAAUUAGCUUCACAGUUGUUUCAGGUACAGGAUUGAUUGUGAAAGGUUAAAGGAGUGUAGGAAAGAUGGAAUGGGUUAUUGUAUCCACAACAAGGACAAAACCCAUAUACAAAUGAAUGUAUUUCAGUUGUCAUAGUUAUGAAACCCCAUUCUGUAACAAAUGGGAAAUAACACCUCAUGGCAGCCAAUCUAAAAUAAUCUCUAUGUGAUGAGUUCCACUGGCAGAUCUGCCAAGAUGCACCAAUUCUCAGUGUGAUCACAUAGAUUUCAUUGGUCACAAACAGAGAAAAGCACAUGAUUGCAUUGAAGACGAUGACAGUGCUGCCAGCCCAGAAAUCACAGCUCAGGCUCCGCGAUAGCAGACUAUCACACCUGCCACUUGACAGGUGUGCACUGAAAUUUAUGAAAAGCUUUUCUAGCCAAGCCAUCAGGCUGCUGAAAAGAAUGGUGAAUGCCUUGAGCCUUGACAUUUAUUACAGCUUUGCCAGCAUAUCUGUCUUGUAGAGUGUGAUUUGAAAAACGAUAUGUCUAACCAUGAUCUUAAUAAGCUCAUUUGUUCCAGGAUCUCAUUGUACUUGUGCUUGCUGAUAGAAGAGGAGAAAGCCAACAAUAUAAAUAACGGAAGCUUCCUGGUGAAAUGGCUCCACUUAUUUCAAUAUGGAGACAGUCCGAUGUUUAACAUUACCAGUUGCCAUACCUGAAAGAGGAAUAAGAAUGCUGCUUUGCGGUGUUUCAGAUUUAUAGAAAUGUGAGACAUGCUAACCAACCAUCAACAUACUUUAUCUUGGAGCAUCAUGUCUGAAAGGUCAGAUUUGCAUAUGAUAAAAGAGCAGGAGGCUAAUUAAAGAAUCCAUGAUCUUUCGAUCUUCUGGAUCCUAAAAUCACGCUGACCUGGCAACUAACCGUUUGACAGUGGGACCACUGGGCACUAGAAAGUUCUCCAUAUAUGGAUAGUAAAUGUGGAAUGACAUAAUAUUCUGAAAAGGAGAUGUUAGAUCUGAAGGUGGAUCUGCUUUAAAAUUCCGAGAGGAUGAGAUGAGGUAAUGUUAGUAAGUGGUUAACGUUAUAUCUGGUGCAUAGUAAUUGCACAUAUGUAGUAGCUGUUAUUAUUGUAAUUAGAAGCAGUGGCGCUGGUGGGAUUGGAUAGCAGUGUAAGUAAGUGCGGGGAGGCUGUUCACAGGCCAGGAAGUCUGUUUCUUGCCUAGGGAUGCAGAUCAGAGCCAGCCUGAUGCUGAGCAUGCACCCGUGGCGACCUCUAUCUCAGGAUGAUGGUGAGAGCAAGCUGGGAGUUCUGAACUUAACCCUGAGACUCUAAGAAAGGGGGGAGACAGGAGCCAAUCUGAACUGGAAAUCAAGGGAAGAUUAGAAAUAAGAUUCCACACGUUGCUUCUCAAUCCACAUUGGACAGACAGUAGUGUAGAGGGUGUUUUUGUUGCUACAAUUACUCUUAUUCUCUGGCGACUGCUUCAGCCAUCUGGUUGCCUACGCAACUUCCUUGAGUGUUGCAAGUGUUACUUUUUACAGUUUCUGUGUUACCAGAGAGAAUUAUUAAAGGAGAAUGAGACUAAAGCAGCAUUUUAGAAAAUAAGCAGAGCUAUCAGGAUUCGGAAAAACUGCAAUGGUCUGAAGUCUAUGCCAUUGUAACUGGAUCAUAACCGUAGCACACUGGAAUGGUUCAACAGGAACCACACCACUAUAGGUCAUUCUCACUUGGCUCUUGAGUGGUGACUGCUUCUCAGAGCUAUGGUGUCACCAGCAUUUGUGGUCAAUAAAAUAAAUAGUUGAUUCUUUGAGCAAGAAUCUAGAGACACUUCAUGGGCUAGAUGACAUCUCAAGAUCUGUUGACAGGGAGAUCUCAUCAAGAUGGUGGCAUAGGCAGACUCUGAACUCACCUCAUCCCAUGAAUGCAACCAGGUUACAACUAUUCUUGGAAAAAAUACCCCAGAGAGAGAACUGAAAACUGGAUAAGAAGAACCCCUACAACAAGUGACAGUCCUGACUGAGAUGGAAGAAGCAGAACUUCCUUCUGGAAAGAAGAGGGGCCACCUUUAUAAGCCACAGAGCUUCACAGCUGAGCAGAAGCCACCUUAAGGACAUCUCUCCUGGGUAUGUGUUAUACAGAGGGCUCUCUCUUCCUGUCUGAUGUCAUGACUGCUGCUGGACAUCUUCAGAAAUUUCUGUUUAUCAUUAAAAGCAAAAGGCUCAGAACAAGGUGACAUUUAAAAAGUGGAAAUCAUAAUAUUUUGAUUCUUGAGCUCUAGCUUAAAAGUUUAAAAAAAUGUUCUUUCUUGAAAGAUAUUAAAUACCAAAUUUUUAAACCCAGAGUAUUCUUCCAGGUACCAUUUAUUCAUUACUUACAUUUUAUGGCCCACGAAAGUUGGUGAUACAAAGCCAAAAGCCAUGCUAUAGUAGUACACAUGUGGCAGUAUUUUAUGAGAGGUAUGUCUUAGGAUUUCAAAGUAAAUGGUCAUUUUUGGUUAUCUCAUAAAAGCUAUUGCGGAAAAACAAAACAAAACGUUUUAAAAGCUAUUAAUCAACAUUAUUUUUCUCCUUUCUGGGUAUUUCUCUCAGAUGGAAAUACCCAAUUGGAGUAGCUGGUGGACUCUAUAGGUAAUCAUUUAGGAGUCAGUGUGGUAGUACAGACAGAAGAGAAACCCUAUGCUUUAUCCUAACUUUGGUUUCCAAACUUCUAAGCCUUUAGGGGAAGGAAGAAUUUUCAAGGAUUAGACUAAAUAUUUGGGUGAAACAAGGGGAAGAGUCUAGGGUCUCCUAGACCCAAUUUGCAGUCUAGAAACAUUUGCCUUAGGCUGGGAAAGAGAGAUGGAGAAAAAGAAAUGAGAUACGAUUGUGUUAAGGGGCCUUAGAGGGAGCAUUAUCUGCAUCCAUCUCUUGGGCAGAGCCCAGAGAUAGUCUAAGAUCUUAAGAAAUGACUGUGAGCUUCCUAGAGGUAAUUGUGAGCCAUAGAAAGCUUUGCAGAGAUACCCACACCUCGGGUUCACUGAGCUGAGGAUUAUUUUAAGGUUGGACCUUACCUUGUGCCCAAGUGAUUCAAGGAUCCAAAAAUCCUUGGCCCCUUUCUCACAUCUCUUGUGAAGUGACCACUUGUAAACCCUCUGGCACAAACUUAAGAGCAAGAAUAUAAACCCAAAAUUCACUGAGUAGAUUUCUUCUCUUGAGAGGCUUGCAAUUGAUUUGUUAUAGAACACAAAGUUGCGUUUCUAGUUCAUCCAAGCAUGUGUACUGAGAUUCAUAUUAAAUGCAUUAUUUAUAUAUUGUGAAUUAUCCCAGAAAAGAUUUAAGGAAUAUUGCAAAAGUUUGAAAUUUUUCUUUUGUACUUUUCAUGAAUUUUGUUAAAGGCAGUGUUUAUGUAAUAUGCUCUGUUCAGAUGGGGUACAGAUUAUCUGGACUGCCCACUCUGUUCACUAGAAGCCUAACUCAACAGCCUGGUAUGUUUCAGUUCAGCUAUUUAACUACAGCAGUACCUAGAGGAGUUUUUAGCUCAGUAUUUUGCAAAAACAACAAAAGGAUGUUUUGAUAGCUACCAAAUCAAUACACUAUACGAACUUUGUUCAGUCUGUGUGCAUAUUUGUAUACAACUAUUUGCAAAAGCUAUGUAUUGGGUUGGCUAUCAAUGUCUACCUUCAACUUCCUCUUUGCUUAAGAAUAGAUAAUGACCUCAAAUCUACUCACAAAACUUCUGGUCAAGAGAGAAUCCCCUUUAGUGAGUGUCAUGCUUCUCUUGUGCCAUGAUGAUUACUUUUGUUUCAAGCCUCUUAUGGCUGUAACGUUUUAUUUUUUUACUUUGCUCACAGAAUCACACAAAGGACAACUUUAAGCACUGAACCAUUUUUGGAAGAUUUCUGUGGAAGACAUAGUUUGUCCUCCAAAUGCUUUAUGUGCAUUCUUUGUGUGAAUGGCUGCCUGGUGUUGCCACUCUGAUCCCUUUAAUUGCAGAGUUUUUGUGUUCUUGUUGACCAGCGUUCCUGCUGCCUGAUCAGUGUUCUGAAUAUGGCAUCAUGCUCUGCAGUGAGGAGACAAGGGCAUUUUAAAUGUCUUUUGUGGACAAGAAACACUUUAUGUAUAUGGUCCAAGAUAACGACAGAUUUUCCCCAUGAUUCAGCAUCAAGACCAUAGUGGGUUAACACAAUUUAGUAUUCUCCUGUUGUCUUUCUAUUUUUUGACUUCAUAACCAAAAUAAGGGAGACAUAUUUGCACCCAUGAACCUGGGGACAGCAUUAGUAAAACCUGACCUUUAGCUGUGGAUCUCUGCUCCCUUUGCUUGUAGUUGUGUUAUAUGAGUCGACCUGUGCCUACUGAUUUAUUAUCAAUGUUUUUCAAAAGCUGGGUUUCUCCCAAUGAGGAAAAGCAAUUACUAAUGUGAUCAAAAUUGUUGAAAUCUUUCUGAUUUUCCAAUAACUCAUGAGAGUUCUCAAUGGCACUUUGGGGCCUCUUAUUAUACUCUACAUCAAAUAUGGGAGAAACAGAAAGUAACAUGUGCAAAUAAUUUAUAAGGCAUUUAUAUGCUACAUAAUCUAGUUUUAGAAAUCCAUGUAAUGAUUCUUUCUGGGAGUGAUUUUCAUUGAUUAACCUUUAGGUCAGUUUGUUAUUUUUAAAUAACCAACCAUGACUUUGUUUCAUUAUCUUUAACCUCUGAUUCCUCUAGUUUAUUAAUUAUCAAAAUAGUUAAUUAUUUGAUAAGUACCAGAGAUUUAUUCUAGCUAUCUUGUUCUCUAAUGAUUUCUUAAACAAUAAGAAUAGCACUUUAAUACACAUUUUCUCUAGAAUAUCCAUCUCCUUCAGAGGGUAAUAGAGCAUUAGUAGUCUUUUUUAAUAAGAUAAAUGAGCUAUUUCCAAAAUCUGUACACUUUAUAACAUUACAUCAAAUAUUGCAUUACUGAAUUAACUAUAUUGAUAUAUGGAAAAAUAAAAAUCACAUUGAAAAUCUUUUUUGUGAAGAUCUGGCAAAUUCAAGUUUAGAGACACAACAUAAGAGACAGUGUUUUUAUCUAAAAUUAUUGUCAAAUUUUAGAAGGAACAAGACAAGGAAAAAAAUCCCUGUUUGGACAGUUUUACUCAAUUAAAAUGAAGAAUAAAAUUAAGCUAGUUGUGUGGAUAAUUAAGGCUAAAUCAUCCUUCUUAAAGUAUAUUGUUGCAUCAAAUAAUGUUACAGAGUUUUUUUCCUUUUUCAUUUUAUUCUGCUAAUGUAGAUCUAGACUUUAUAUGAACCUCAGGAAGAACAACUACAAAAUAGAAUCCACACAUAGCAAAAUAGAGUUAGAUGUGUAACAAAUUCAGCAUCCUCUAUUUAGGCAAGACUGACAUUGCACAAAAAGCCUGACAGAGAUUCCGUAUUUAUUUACCUCAGAGUUGAAUCAAGUUCAAUGAAAAGUGAUUUGUAACUUGCUUAUUCAGUGAACUUGAAUAAAUAACUCACAAAUCAAUGUCUUAGAAGAAUUCGGUAGCUAGCCUAUUUCAUUUGAAACCAUACUAUAGCCUAUCAAUUUCCUCCUCUAGAUACUGUUGAACAGAAAAAACUGGAAUAGAAGUAGGCCAUUCGACUUACCUGCCAAGAAGGACAGUUCAAUUCCAAAAAGGGAAAAAUGUGCUUGGAGUUUUAAAACUACUGUUUCUAGCUACCACUACUACCCUCAAAAUUUCAGAACUAAGGAAAAGGGACCUCUGACAUGGACCAUCUGCUUUAGAGGACCUGGAUCUGACUUAGCACGUUGCUCUUCAUAGAGACAUGAGUCCACAGGGUGAAGCAGAUAUCUCCACCCAGAUGUGUCCACCAUGUUCCUUCCUUCUAGACCAUUCUUCAAGUACCCGGGGGACCAAGCCCACUUGCAAGACCUGCACAGCCUUCUUCUCAGGACCCUCCUCCAAAGAACGGACCACAUUGCACUUGGGUCAGAGAAAUGGCAAGUAGGGGCAAUUUGCAGGGGUGUGGAUAAAGCUUGGACAUCCAGGCUGUGGUGUGAAUGAGAGGUCUCUCUUGGGACAAAAAUAGAAUGAGGAACAAAUUACUGGCCAAAGAUACGGACCUGGAGCAGGCACUCUCCAUGCUAUCACAUUCUAGUGCACAAUUCUGUGUAGUCCAAAAAUUUAAAAUUUGAACCUGGCUUUACCAAUUGUUAAAAAGAUACAUUUUUUAAGGUAGGAAAAUAGAUCUUUUAUUUAACAUUGUGUCAGUUUGAUUUAUAACUAAGUAUUUAGAUAUAUGGCAUAUGGGCCACCAUUUGUACUCUUGCCCCUGGCCCUUCAAUGUUAAGGACAGGCUUACCAGCUACCGCCCUAUCUCUCUACUCUCCUUCACGACUAGUCACUGAGCCACCACCCAGGACUCAGCAGCCUCCCCUGGAUUACAUCCAUAUAAGAAUUCAACAGAGAAAUGGCGGGAAGACUCUUACUACUGUCCAUCGGAUUAUUGAUGAUUGUGAUAAAAGGAAACUAGCGAAGGCAUUUAAGGAGAAAUUUGUCACCAUAGGACUGUAACUGAGCAUCCAGAAUAUGGAGAAGUAAUUCACCUAUAAGGCAACCAGCACAAGAACAUAUGCUAGGUCCUGGUAGAGAUUGGGCUGGCUGAGGAUGACCAGCUGAAUGUUCAUGGGUUUUAAGUGCUUUUGGCUCAUUGAAGCUUGAGUGAGGACUUCCUUGCAAUGAGUAGAAUUUCCCUUCUGUCCCUUGUCAUAAGUUUAAAGACCUCAGAGCUUGCAUAAUGUGUAAUCAUUUAGGGUCUGCUUUUAACUUGGACUAGUGUAACUCCUUCAUGCAAUAAACUGAAAAGAGCUAUGCUGUCUAUUCUCGAAGUCCUUUGUUUAAACAGAGAUCAAGCAAUAGGUGCCCAGAAGUGUCCAGCCUGAAACCAAGCAAUAACAUGAUGUUUUGGCCAAGUCCAGAGCCCCAAGAUCACUGACGGCUAUGUCUGGCCAGAAGUUCUUCAGCCCCCCUUCUACAGAGUUCCCUGCCAUAAGAGAAUGCCACAACCUGAACAGCCCUCAAUGAAGCUGAGAGGAGAGGAUGGGGUAAAGCAGCAACAGCAGCUGUUCCACUAGAUGGGAGCCUUUGGUACUCAAAGAAUGAUCCCCUGUUGUCUCCAGCCUGACCAGGUGGUGGAGCUUAGAGGGGCUACCUUGUCUCUAGUGAGGUGAUAUAUACCUUACUUAAACAAUACUUUAUCACUAAAAAAUGCUAACCAUCACCUGAGCCUUCAGUGAGUCGUAGUCUUUUUGCUGGUGGAGGGUCUUGUAAAAAACAAAGUUUCUGCAAAGCUCAAUAAAGCAAAGUGCAAUAAAAUGAUGUGUGCCAAUAGAGACUAAAAGGGCACUAGAAAAGAUCGAUGAAACUAAGCUGUUUUUUUAAAAAGAUAAACAAAAAUGACAAACUUUUAGCUAGAUUCAUCAAGAAAAAAUAGAA